Long non-coding RNA from Cyprinus carpio carpio, 2452 nucleotides. The record is from Ensembl. Lineage: Eukaryota; Metazoa; Chordata; Actinopteri; Cypriniformes; Cyprinidae.
AUGAGUGCUUGUGAGAUUUUUCUUUGUCUAAGGGCUGAACAUCACAUCGAUUGCUCUGCGCUCCAGAACACGGUGAUGGUUUUUCGGCGAGAACGGACAAAUACACAUUUAAUUCACACUGACAAGCUGAACCAACAUAUGUUAUUAUUACCGGCUCAGAUCUCAUUAAUAAUUGAUGUCUGGCCAGAACAGUGAGAAAGACCAGAGAGAAAUCACCGCUGCAUCAGCGCGUGCAGUCUCACGAGCUCACAAUAAAAAGCAUUUUUUUAUAGUUUUUAAGAGCUUUUUAAAAAUAAAAUAUUACCGCGAAUGCACACAAUCCACCCAUUAGAACACAACAAGAGCUAAAUUCGGGUAUUUGUGCGCUGUUUGAUUGUGAAAAUUGAAAGACUAUUUGACAGCGCGAGACUGUCUAAGGGCAGAAUAACAUCGAUCUCUCGAGCUCCAGAGGACGCUGAUUCUGGCAAGAACGAACAAAUCAAGAACAAGGUUAUUUCAAAAUACAUAAUAGCAUGGCGAAUAUAAACGAAAACAGUCACGUAAACAUAAACAGUUGAGAAAUAAAUCUGAAGUGUAUCAUGAUACUGGAUUUGAAUAUUAAAGUGACUGCAUUUACCAGCUGCUUUCUGUCUUUAAUUUUAAUCUAUAAAAACAGAAAAUCAUUCGUCUUGGCUGCUUUUUUUGUAUGUAUUCAUGUAUUUAUUAUUAUUAUUAUGCUCUUACAAGAAUUAAUCUAUAUUUAAUUAAAUUAAAUUUCUGCAUCUAAACACCUAUAAACCUAAAAACAUGCUCUAUUAAACUAUUGUUAGCAAUUUCUUUAUCGUCCAGUUUAACUGGUGUACACACUUUUAUUUUCAUAAUAAAUUUGUUUUUUUUUUUAGAUAAUAGACAGUUACAGUGGUCUAUAAUAAAUAUUAACAGGUUUUGUUCAAGCUGCUUAAAAUGUUUGAAGUAGGCUCAUUUUUUUAAAUGUAAAUCCUAAAAAAAAAACAAAAAAAAAAAAAAAACUGGGAAACAGCCAUAUUUACGAAAAGGUGCUUAACCUAUAGAAAAAAAUAAAACUAUGAAUUAAAUUAGUGUUUAAUUUUUAGUAAUGACCAUUUUUGACCAUUUUUGUUGUCAUAAAAACCUUCUUCUUUACAAUACAGAAUAACGAUUGUCAAUAGUAAAUAUUAUGAAAACAACAACUGUUGUAUUUUUCAUCAUUAUAUAGUUUAUGUAUUAUAAUUGUAAAAACAAAACAAAUUUAGCAACUCACAUAGUAAUCAUUCAGCACUGCUUAAAAAUGUAAGUUGAAAAUUAAACUCAUGAUUAAGCAUGAAAUAAGAUACAGAAUCAGUAAAUUCGAUUUUAAUGUGGGUAUAUUAUCAGUAAACUAAUCAUUAAAUAUUUAUAAUCAAUCAAAAAAUAUUGGCCAAUUUCAUAAUGUUGUUCAAAAAUGAAGGGCACAAUGCUAAUGUUGUCCACUCGAUGGCGCCACAGGACAGCAAAUACUUCAAGAUCUGUUCAAAGACUUGAAAAUGUUUCAUUUAUGUAAAUAAAUCAAAAAUGCAUAUACAUUCAUUCUUUUUUCAUAAACUUUAAUAAAGCCCAAUAUAGUAAUUAUGCAAAAACUAUCAUCUCCGAAAUACCAUUACGUUUUUAUCUUAUUUUAAUAGUAUUGACAACAUAUUUCUCAAGUUAUCACGCAUUACUGAAAAAGUGAAGAAGGGACACUAUAUUUGUUAUCUAUUUUUCAUGUUGUGCGCAUAAUAAUUUACUUGAAAAGAGACACGUCCAUUGUUUAACUGCAUCAUCUACACAAACCAUUGUGCUUGGACCCCUUAUGAUCACCUGGACUUAAACCACAUUGUUCCAGUUUUCUUUCUAUGUCUUUGGCCACAACGCUUCAGUGACAGGAAUGUGAAAUAGCAAACAGGGGAACAAAUAAAAGGCAUGACUUUAUUUGCAUCCAGCUAGCCAACUCUAUUACAGGUGUUCCACAGCCAAGACUCUUAUUAGAAUAGAAAAUAGCAAGGGUUCGAAUAAAUAGUUUAUUAAUCAUUUAAUUUAACUUUCUUAAUGAAUAUUGUUCUGUGUAUGUGAUUUCAAAGUCUUGAUGCUUCGGAUUAACCCGUUAAUUGCCGUAUCCCUUAAAACCUGAGUGCCAGAGGAUUACUGUAAAUGCAUGUGCCUGCUGGGCACAGUUUACCUGAUGCCACCGGGGUGGCGUUUGCGCUGAUGGCUUGAGCCCGCCAUCGCUGCUUGCAGCUAUAUUUAUUAUUAUUCUUCUUCUUCUUCUUCUUCUUCUCCAAAAUGAAUCGCAUUUUUGAGGGCCUAAACAUGCUCGAAAAGUCCUGAAACUUUGCACACGCGUCAGACCUGGUGAAAAUUUACGUCUGAUAUAGGUUUCAGAAGAGGGUGUGGCAAAAUGGCUCGACAGCGCCACCUAUCGUAAAAAAAUCAACAGCCC